AGAGCAACGGCCUACCAAAGGGACGAGCAAGAAAAAAGCAUAUUGAUCGCUGCGCAGCUGCACCUCAAGUGGGAGGCUGACUCGAAGGAGCAGCAGAUCCCCUUCGACGUACUGUUUUCCCCUGUUCGUGUUCGCUAUUGCGCCUGCAGCCCUCUCUACCCCCACCCCCCACCCUUGCGCUUCUCGACCUUGCCCACUAACUCGUAUCGCUUCCGAAAGCUGGGGCGAGCACAUGCGAAGGAAGAAGAUAAGUGACCAUCUCUGUCUAUCCGCCUGUCUUUCUCUCACGCACACUCACACAUUCCGAUUCGAACGAGGCGGAAACAUUCCAUAAAAACUCUGCACUUGUGCUGUUGCGGUCGUCACGUUACUGUGCUUCUCUGCGCGCCGCUUCUUUUUCGUUGUUGUUUUGUUUGGGUGUUCAUAAUUCUAUCUGCCACUACUACCUUCCUCUUUCGCGUUCUCGCUGUCUCUUUUCCUCCUCUUCGCUUCUCUCUGAUUUCGUGGCACCAUCACGCAUACAAAACACUCAUCUUACAUAGACUGUGGCGCUGUAUUCUUUUUCUCUCUUGAUCAUUUUGUUGCUUGGCUCUCGUUCUUGUCUCCCUGACGUCAAUUCUCCCCUCCCUCCCCACCCACCCUCGCAACACACACACAAACGCGCGACCGCGGACACAAGUCAAAGGACUGCGCGCUCGAAGGUGUCCUGUGAGAGGUCGAAGAAGGUGAUUGCUUUGGAUGAGACUGAAGAGGUCUGUUUCGACUGCCCUUGCUUCCCUCGCCAGUUCUUGUUGGUCUUUCACUUCUCUUCCUCACCGCACGGGCUACGACUAGACGUGAAUCACAGGGGAUAAUGUCAUCUAGUAGCCCGUAUCGUGGACGAGGCUCUGCUAGAGGUGACGCCUACCUGUCCACGAGCACGUCGCCAUCGCCGUCGAGCCCUCACGCAGCGUCCUCUUCAUCGCUCUCGCGGCAUGCGCGGCAAACACGACUCAUCGCCUCGCAUGGCGGCUCCACCGCCGGCCUGACAGCGACUAUGAGAAACCCAACGGAUAUAGGCACCGCUGCUGCAUCGCAGUCGCCCACUGACGUUUUGCGCCCACCCACGUCCGUCGAGACGAUGAUGCUGCUCACUAUGCCUGCCGCGAGCUCUCGCCAAAGCACAUCCUCCUGGUUGCCAACUCGGCUCACCUCAUCCUACUGUGUUCUGAGCGCGGCCGGGCUGCAGGAGGACUUCUACACAAGCUGUCUGUCCUGGGGGACCAACCAGAUGGCGCUGGCGCUGCAGGAGGAUCUCGUGUUGUUUCAUCCGAGUCACCCGCGGCAGGCUUCUUCGACGGCACGCAUCUCGACCCCUCCUGCUCUCAGGGAAGCUGGCAGCAAUACCGGCACAGGGUCCUCUGCUGCCUUCUCGGGCCCGCGGCGAGCGACGGCGGUGGCGAUGACCCGCUUUCAGGAGACGUCCUGUUUCCUCGGUAUGUCGAACGGCGCUGUGGAGCUGUACGAAGGACGCGGGGAUGGCACACUGCAGCGCACGGUCGCCUUCGCUAUGCCACCGCCGCCGACAGGCUACCUGAGCUCACUUGUGCUCGGCAGUGACGAUUGCGGUGGCGCAGCCUCGCCAGCGUCGCCGACGUCUCGCGCGGCGCGUGCACUUUGUCUCCUCAGAUCCUCUGUCUCGUCCAUCAGCUGUGUGGGCACCAGCAGUCGCCAUCCUUGGCUGGGGUCUGCAGCCACUGCCGCCCGCGGACUGAUCACCGUGGAUGCAAGGCAGGUGCAGCCCGCCAUCCGCUUCGGCACGGACGCCGAGCUUUGCCUAGACGAGGGCGCACUGCGCUCAUCCUCGGUGACUGCGUCCGAUUCGUCUGCGGCUAGCGGCGGACUCAGCAAGCUGCAGCGCGCCGCCUCGUUUCUCCGGAGGCACGAUCGACUGUGCAGCGUGUCAUGGAACGCGACAGGCUCGCUGGUAGCGACUGGCAGUGGAAGUGGCAUUGUAAAGGUGUGGUCCCUAAGCGCGCCGCAGCGCCCAUUGCACACCUUCCUCGUCGAUCAGGACUGCUCUGUGAAAGCACUGUGCUUCCACCCAGGGAGUCCGUAUGUGCUGCUAGUGGGGGCCUCCGCUGGCGCGGCGGGGCUGCGGACGUACGACUUGUCCGGCGCCGAGCCCGCUUUGAUUUCCACUGGUGCGACGGCUGCUCCUGUGACGCAGGCCUUGUACGAUCCCGAGGGCAACUACGCAGUGACCGGGGCCGGCGUCCCCUUGUCGCCCGUCUCGUCAUCGUUAUCACAACCGCAGUACCCAGUGCUGGCCGCUCACACAGAGCUUGGGGCAACAGGCGCUGGCAUUGGUAGCGGCUUUCAUGAGCAUGGCGCUGGUUGGCACCGCUCCUCGUCAACUCGGCCCAGCGCAGCCAGCAGCAACAGUGCCAUCGGCGCAUCUGGCGGCGCCACUCUCCUGCACGACUCAUGGGACGAGAUGGAGAUGCCGGCCUCUCCUCUGAGCGCGACUCUUGACACGGCCGCCGGGCUUGCUGGCGCCUUUGCCAGUGAAAGCAACGGCAGCUCAGCUGCUGCACACAGCGCGCCACCGAAUGCGCUCGUAGUGUGGCGUUGCGGCACCAGGCGCCGCGAGAAUUACCUCCGCGAGGCUCUUCUCCAGCGCAGCGACCGGCGGAGAGACAGCGCAGGCGGCCGAGACGACUUUGCUCGGCACGGCGACGACGCAAGCGAUGACGACAGUGAAGAUGUUGCCCAAGAGGACUGCCUCGCCCGAGGUGGUUUGCGGGAUUCGACUGUUGUCGCGGACGACGGCCACAGCAGCGAUAUCGGUUAUCCGAGGUCGGAGUGGAUGCCAAUGUACGCCCUCCCUGGCCAUCGCGCGCGGCCGCUGCUUAUUUGCGCUCCCUUUCCGCAGUCCCCGUUUGCCGGUUGCUACGCAUCCAUUGCCGGUGGCGAGGAUGGCACAAUCCGCUUUUGGCGUUUCUUCGAGACCACCUCGGAUGCCACACACUGGCAGCACCGUCGCCAAGCGCAGCAGCAGUCAGCGGCGACCCAGGAGGACAUGGAUUUACUCGCCACCCCAGUGCUGCGGUGAAGCAGAACAAUGGCGCGCCCCUCGCAUGCGCGUUCGCGCACGCAACAGGUGAUCGGACGAUGGUCAUAAAGGCUGCUCUCGCGUCUUGGCCUCGUGGCGCUUCCCUCUUGCCUCGUCUCUGAGAAGAUCGUCGUGGACAAAGGUGUAUGUGUGUGCUCGGAAAAGCACUGAUGUGCGAGGUAAGAGCCUGUCGCUAGACUUGCAAAUGGACUGUGGGCGAGGAUGGGACAGGGCAGAACACG
This 3336-nucleotide unclassified non-coding RNA is filed under the name Leishmania donovani. RNAcentral's name for it is "gene:LdHU3.36.2790(CDS-product:WD_domain_G-beta_r epeat_putative)". Lineage: Eukaryota; Euglenozoa; Kinetoplastea; Trypanosomatida; Trypanosomatidae. The record is from RNAcentral.